This 1343-nucleotide ribosomal RNA is filed under the name uncultured bacterium. Its description in RNAcentral is "16S ribosomal RNA". It matches the Rfam family "Bacterial small subunit ribosomal RNA", at positions 28 to 1378 of the family's 1533-position model. The record is from RNAcentral.
GACGAACGCUGGCGGCGUGCUUAACACAUGCAAGUCGAACGGAAAGGCCCUGCUUUUGUGGGGUGCUCGAGUGGCGAACGGGUGAGUAACACGUGAGUAACCUGCCCUUGACUUUGGGAUAACUUCAGGAAACUGGGGCUAAUACCGGAUAGGAGCUCCUGCUGCAUGGUGGGGGUUGGAAAGUUUCGGCGGUUGGGGAUGGACUCGCGGCUUAUCAGCUUGUUGGUGGGGUAGUGGCUUACCAAGGCUUUGACGGGUAGCCGGCCUGAGAGGGUGACCGGCCACAUUGGGACUGAGAUACGGCCCAGACUCCUACGGGAGGCAGCAGUGGGGAAUAUUGCACAAUGGGCGGAAGCCUGAUGCAGCAACGCCGCGUGCGGGAUGACGGCCUUCGGGUUGUAAACCGCUUUCGCCUGUGACGAAGCGUGAGUGACGGUAAUGGGUAAAGAAGCACCGGCUAACUACGUGCCAGCAGCCGCGGUGGUACGUAGGGUGCGAGCGUUGUCCGGAUUUAUUGGGCGUAAAGGGCUCGUAGGUGGUUGAUCGCGUCGGAAGUGUAAUCUUGGGACUUAACCCUGAGCGUGCUUUCGAUACGGGUUGACUUGAGGAAGGUAGGGGAGAAUGGAAUUCCUGGUGGAGCGGUGGAAUGCGCAGAUAUCAGGAGGAACACCAGUGGCGAAGGCGGUUCUCUGGGCCUUUCCUGACGCUGAGGAGCGAAAGCGUGGGGAGCGAACAGGCUUAGAUACCCUGGUAGUCCACGCUGUAAACGGUGGGUACUAGGUGUGGGGUCCAUUCCACGGGUUCCGUGCCGUAGCUAACGCUUUAAGUACCCCGCCUGGGGAGUACGGCCGCAAGGCUAAAACUCAAAGGAAUUGACGGGGCCCCGCACAAGCGGCGGAGCAUGCGGAUUAAUUCGAUGCAACGCGUAGAACCUUACCUGGGUUUGACAUGGAUCGGGAGUGCUCAGAGAUGGGUGUGCCUCUUUUGGGGUCGGUUCACAGGUGGUGCAUGGCUGUCGUCAGCUCGUGUCGUGAGAUGUUGGGUUAAGUCCCGCAACGAGCGCAACCCUUGUUCACUGUUGCCAGCACGUUAUGGUGGGGACUCAGUGGAGACCGCCGGGGUCAACUCGGAGGAAGGUGGGGAUGACGUCAAGUCAUCAUGCCCCUUAUGUCCAGGGCUUCACGCAUGCUACAAUGGCUGGUACAGAGAGUGGCGAGCCUGUGAGGGUGAGCGAAUCUCGGAAAGCCGGUCUCAGUUCGGAUUGGGGUCUGCAACUCGACCUCAUGAAGUCGGAGUCGCUAGUAAUCGCAGAUCAGCAACGCUGCGGUGAAUACGUUCCCGGG